RNAcentral lists this ribosomal RNA (484 nucleotides) under uncultured bacterium. RNAcentral describes it as "partial 16S ribosomal RNA". It matches the Rfam family "Bacterial small subunit ribosomal RNA", at positions 30 to 507 of the family's 1533-position model. The record is from RNAcentral.
AUUGAACGCUGGCGGCAGGCCUAACACAUGCAAGUCGAACGGAUAAAGGGAGCUUGCGCCUGGAUCUAGCGGCGGACGGGGGAGUAAUGCCCAGGAAUCUGCCGGGUAGGGGGUGAUAACAACCGGAAACGGGCGCUAAUAACACAUACGACCAGAGGGAGAAAGUGGGGGGGGUUCGGAACGCACCCUAUCAGAGGAGCCUAGGUCGGGUUAGCUAGUUGGUGGGGUGAGGGGCUACCAAGGCGACGAUUCGUAACUGGUCGGCGAGGAUGAUAAACCACACUGGAACGGAGCCACGGACCAUACUACUGCGGGAGGCAGCAGUGUGGAAUAUUAGACAGCGGGCGAAAACCUGAUCCAGCCAUGCCGAGUGUGUGAAGAAGGUCUUCCGAUCGUAAAGCACUUCUAGUUGUGAGGAACCGCAGUCACUUAAUACCUUGCUGUUUUGACGUUACCAAGUGAAUAAGCACCGGCUAACUUCGUG